AUGUUGAGCUCCGAGAAAUUUUGCCUUACAGCACCGCCAUAAUUCUGACUAUCCACCGUCUUCAUAAGCGACUUAGUCCCCAAACUCACAGCCGGUUCAGGCACUCUGCUUCUGGAAGGUGGCAGAGGGGUUGAAUCCCCCACUUCAGGUCUUCUAGACUGCGAGUUAACAGCCUGUUCUACCCGUGCAUCAGCAGGCUGAUGAGUUGAAUCCCCUAUUCCAGGUCUUCUAGACUGCAAGUUAACAACUUGUUCUAGGUGUGCAUCAUCAGCAGGCUGAGG
RNAcentral lists this long non-coding RNA (281 nucleotides) under Medicago truncatula (barrel medic). Its description in RNAcentral is "long non-coding RNA (MTRU_LNC005947)". The record is from RNAcentral. Lineage: Eukaryota; Viridiplantae; Streptophyta; Magnoliopsida; Fabales; Fabaceae.